Long non-coding RNA from Sapajus apella (tufted capuchin), 4043 nucleotides. RefSeq lists it as uncharacterized. Lineage: Eukaryota; Metazoa; Chordata; Mammalia; Primates; Cebidae. The record is from RefSeq and is a predicted model, not a curated record. The transcript is spliced from 2 exons.
GUGGAAGAUUCAGUGAGCCGAGAUUGUGCCACUGCACUCCAGCCUGAGUGAUAGAGCAAGACUCUGCCUCAAAACAAAAAAAAAAAAAGUGAGAAAAAAAAUAGUUUACCAAGGACCUCUUAGUAAAACACUAAAUUUCCAGUCCAUUUUUUGUGUCUCUAAAAUCUGCUGUAAACAAAUGGUUCUGUGAACUCGUUCUUACCUAGUAUAAAGUUAUGGUAAAAUUACAGUGGAUAGACCCUGUUGAAAAUUUCUGUUGGCCACUCAUUUUGGCAAACCUAUACAGGUUUGUUCAUUCAGUGAGUACUUUUAGAACAUCUACUACAUUUCAGGCGUAGCUAUUGAUACUGCAGAUAGAGACAAUAAGAGGAAGUCCUUGCCCUCAUCGAGCUUACAUUCUCAUGGGGGAAGCAGACAAAAAAGAAGUACUAUGUUUUAUCAUAAAAUUAUUAUAUAAUUUCUAAAAAGCACAAUAAGAAAAAAGAUGAAUUAAGAAAGAGUAAAGGGAGGUGCUAUUUCAGACAUGGCUCAAUUAAGCUUAAAGUGUACAUAUACUGUUGGUACCAUAUAUGGUUAAAAUAAUUCAAUUCCAUCAACAGCUGCAUUGUUAAAUGCCAACAGAUUACAUACAAACUACAGCCUUGCUGGUUUUGCCAAGAGUAGCUUGACUAAACAAGAAUCCACCAAUAUUAGCAAAGCAUGUUUGAUUCCAUAGAUACCAGAAAAAAGUUUGGUAAUUAAGUCUGCUUAGUAGCCAGACUUGUAAAAAGUGCUGACAGUGUUAGUUUUCAUUUUGUGUGAUAGAUAAAGCCAACCUAGUUGUUGUCCCUGUACGUUUGUUUUUGCGCCUAAUGUAUGACAAAGAUUAAUUGAGAUCCACACUUCAUUGUUAUUCAGGAAUGUAGGAAUGAUUGCUACAUCUUAGUCUGUAGCUAGAGAAGAAUCACCAUUUAUGGUACCCAUCAGAGGAGUGUGUCCCACUACAUGCUUAUCUAAGAGUUCUACACAUUCUUAAAUAAUCUUAACUACACAAUCAUAUCAAUAUGAUUUCAUGUAACCAUUUGUCUCGGUUUACGUUUUAAGAUUUUUACAUUUUACUAUAUGUUUUACCUUUUAAGAUACAUUUUACAUUGUAAGAUACAUUUGAGAUUUUAUCUACUGAAUCAGAGUUCAUCAUCAAUCCUUAAUCUGGGAGAAAAAGUUUGAGGGAGUUAAUGGAAAUCAGUCAUUCUAAGAGGGCCAUGCUUAUUCUAGGAUCCUUUGGUUACAAGGUAAGCAGAGUGCAGGAUUUGUGUCCUGGUUCUCUCUCUUAGUAAACUUGCUUGGACCUUCGGCAGCCUUUCUGGUCAGAAAGACAACUGCUGACCAGAUACCUACAUUUUCUUUAUUCACCUUUCUCGUCUACUAUACACAACCUGAUUAGUUUUUUUCUAUAAAUAUUUGAAUAUUUGUAUUUGAAAUCUUUUUAACAUUGCAUAGAUUAAAACUUUUUAUUACUUGUUUUAGAAAAAAGAUGAAAAUGAUUUUUAUUGUCAUAAUUUAUAUGCACUGUAUUUGUGUUUUGGUUGCAAAUUUCAAUAAAUCUGCUAAAAAACAAACAAAAAAAAUCAUGAACACCAAUAAGUGGUUAAUCUAAUUUCAAGCCGUUAGCAGCAGUAGAUUUCCUCUAUGGAGGUUCUGGCUGAACUCUUCCUAAACUCAAGGAAAACAGGGCUUGUCACCCUUUGCCAGUGCCUUUCCCAGCCUAAAACGGACAUGGCAGGCUUUCUGCAGAUCAAAACUGGGAAAUAAAUUGUAAAAACAAAGCACUUCAUAAGUGCCCACAAAAAUAAUGGAAUGUUCUCUCUUUUUUCACUGGAAACCACUGAAGGGAACCAGUCUUUGGUGAAAAGGAUCUCUCUGACCUGUACCUCCCCUUAAAUUUCCCACACCCUCUUCCUCUCUUCCUAGGCAAUACCAUUUAAAAAGAGCCAGAGGGCUUUUUCAGUUCUGAAAUAUAGAUGCAGAAGUUAAGAGUGAGAGGGUUCUAGAACCCGCCUGCCUGGGUUGAAAUGCCACCUGUGCAAUCCUGAGCACGUUCUUUAAACUCAUCUUGAAAAUGGGGUAAAAAAAAAAAAAAGUAGCAUUUGUCUCAUAGGGAUUAUUUGAGCAUUAAAUGGGUUAAUGCAUACAUAAUGUUGAGAACAGCACCUGGCACACAGUGUGCAAUGCAUUUUAGAUACAGUGGUUACUCUAUAAAUUUGCUGCUCUGCCACCCCUCCUUGUCAUUUCCUAUGGAGUUGAUUUUCUGAGGUUUUAAGCAGGAGAAUAAUAUAAAAGUGAUGCAUAGAAAAAUCAAUCUGGUUACAGAACACAAGGUAGGUUGAGGAGAAGAAGAAAAGAUCUUUUGUUGCAAAACAAGAAGAGGUUUCCCAAUUCCAAAAAACUCAAAAUAUGUCUUGAUCAGAUAGCUUUGUUGGUGCUUUCUUUUCUAUUCUACUUUGAAUUAUUUGUGAAGCCCAUUAAAGUUUCAACGGAAUACAUGGUUUUCCAUCUCCAGUCAACUUUGUUCUAAUUAGGGAUGUGACAGUCCAUUCUAAGCAUUUUCAUACAGAUAUUUUAAAAUGAGAUCUUUUUCAGAAUCUUCUUUUACAAGCAGAAAAGCUUUUGCAAAAAUCUUUAAGUAAGAAAAGGAAUCCAGACCCAAAGUUUCUGACCAGGCAUCCUACAGGGAUGCCCUCUGGACUAAAGUUCCAUUUACUUUUUACCUAAUUUCCAAAAGUACCAGGAAUCUUUUUGUUCAGUGUCACUGGUUCUCAGGAGAACGAGGCAAAGCAUCUUCCCUGGUGAACCAGCCCUACUUCCUUCUAUUCGUAUUUCCCGAUGCAUUUGCCUUCUCAGAAUUAUGCUGUGGGAUCACCACAGUAUCAAAUCUCAGUGUUCACCUGAAAUAUCAUGAUGGGAAAGAAGUUGUUGACUAUGUUACCAAAUUUCAGAUAAGUGAGCACUUUUAUUUCUACUUAAAGAAUAAUUCAACACAUUCUUGAAAUGAAUUAGGAUCUAAUACUUGAGUAACCUAUGUUUAUGGAGCAGAACACAGGGAGUAGACAAUGAGGUGAGAUGAGCAGGAAUAAAUCCUAUUUAUCUGAUUCUUAUCCUCACUAUUGAAAGUCCUGCUGCUCCCUGCAAAAUAGUCUCCAAUUAUGUCUAGGGUGCCCUAUGGGGUGCACCUAUGCAUCAUUUGCCUCGUGGCAUCUGCCACUUUCUUCUGUUUUUUUCUUCAGCAUCAUUUGGUGCUGAUGAUCUUCACUGCUGCCCCAUGUGAGAUGUAGGUGCCCCUCCUACCUGGGAGCCUCCAAUGGAGCAAAGGAGUGAAACAGUCUUGGAAACUUCAAUAAGUCAAAGUUACACUGUGUAGGGUAUAGACGGAAGGAGAAAGUAGAUCCUUUCCACCAUGUGUUGCACUUUGUGACACAGAUCCCAAAACGGGUGUUUCUCUGCAGUUUCUUAGUGAAAGUUGCUCUUUUGAAUGUUUUAAAAUUUGAAAUUCUCAUCCCAGCCCAGGGGCUAGACUUGAGGACAAAUUUUGAGUACCAUAUACUCAAACACUAAAACACUAUUUUUGAACCAAACCCAAGUGCUGAAUUCUCUCUUCUAAAAUGAGGUUCUCCCAGAAGUUCUCUUCGUCCUUAGUCCUGCACAUAAACAGAUUCAGGGCAGAAAUCUCAGGUGUUAGCACUGUUUGGGUUCAACCUGGGACUACAAAUAUAAUUAUAUACAUAAUACAUAAUAUACAUAUUGCCUAUUCUACCUUUAUAGAAGUGCUGUAUCACAAGCUUUGAUAGUUCUUGUUCUUUUUUAGUUUUAAAGCGGUUAUGUAAAAUUACCAGCUUUACUGUAGCUUUGGUGAAAGUAUAUUAGAUUUAGUUGAUUUUUUGCAACUCCUUUCUAUCCUGGGAAAGCUGUCUUCUCUGUACCUUAGGUCACUCGAUUUUUUUUAAAUUCAGAAAAUUGCAGUGGAACAAAACUUUCAUGUAGAGCUUCCAAGUAAACUUGGGAAUCAA